GUGAGUCAUCGAAUCUUUGAACGCACAUUGCGCCCCUUGGUAUUCCGAGGGGCAUGCCUGUUCGAACGUCAUAAGCACCAAUCCAGCCCGGCUGGGUCUUGGGCGCCGCCUCUGGGCGCGCCCCAAAAGUAGUGGCGGUGCCGUCGGGCCCUGAGCGUAGUACAUACCCUCGCUAUAGGACCCCGGUGGAUGCCUGCCAGUAACCCCCUUUCACAGGUUUGACUUCGGAUCAGGUAGGGAUACCCGCUGAACUUAAGCAUAUCAAUAAGCGGAGGA
This 276-nucleotide unclassified non-coding RNA is filed under the name Hymenoscyphus sp. RNAcentral describes it as "partial contains 5.8S ribosomal RNA, internal transcribed spacer 2, and large subunit ribosomal RNA". The stretch from base 1 to 71 matches the Rfam family "5.8S ribosomal RNA", at positions 84 to 154 of the family's 154-position model. Lineage: Eukaryota; Fungi; Ascomycota; Leotiomycetes; Helotiales; Helotiaceae. The record is from RNAcentral.